Molecule: unclassified non-coding RNA, 804 nt
Filed under: Hevea brasiliensis (rubber tree)
Lineage: Eukaryota; Viridiplantae; Streptophyta; Magnoliopsida; Malpighiales; Euphorbiaceae
Source: RNAcentral
AGAUCAGAUCUCGAUUUUUUUUUUUCCUUUUCCAAUCUUGGUGGUUAAGAUUCUAACCAUCAGUUGGAAUAUGAAUGUGCUUUGUUAGAACUCGUUCAUCUUGAAAGGCUUAGAGAGGCUUGGGAAUGUUGUGGAUUCAAAUUUUGAUUGAUGGAAAUUCUUCUAAUGUGAUGAGAUGCGCCUCAUCAAGUAAUCAGGCGUUUAACAAUAUCAUUGACUGAGGAUGUUUAUCCUUGUUCAUAACUCAGGUGCUGUUAACUCUGGGUAAUGAAGAGGCAGCCAGAAGAGGGUAAAUACUUUUUAGCAAUAACAAUUUGGAACAUUUUAACCCUGCAAGGGUAUGUGGUCCACCAUUUGUGGAUGUUGGGAAUUUUUUUUUAAUUUAAGGAUUAUUAUCUGCUUUUUCUUCCAUCAUUGGUGUAUUGUUUUGUUUUUCUUGGUGAGUUUGUUUCUUAGUAAAGACAACAUGUGCUUAGAGUAUUGAACUUAAAAAGAGGGAGAGUGGGGAGGAUUUUGAAAUUUAAAUAUCUCAGGACUUGUUGACACUAUGAUUUAGAACUAUUGAAAAAUUUAUGAUGAGCAAUUGUUCUAGUUUGUUUAUCUUGUAGUGGCAGUUCUUUCGGAAAAAAGUCUAUAGGUUUUAUACCAGGUUAAAAAAUAAUCCUACAAUGUUGUUCUCUUAUGCUAUCUUAUCAUAUAGUCUCCUUGUUUGAUGUGUAGAUUAACUCAGAAGCUUUUCAAGUUAUUUUGCUUGUGUGUUCAUUUGGUUUCACUUUUAUCAGGUAUAAAGUAAUUGAAAUACUU